Molecule: ribosomal RNA, 253 nt
Filed under: uncultured bacterium
Lineage: Bacteria
Description: partial 16S ribosomal RNA
Rfam family: Bacterial small subunit ribosomal RNA
Source: RNAcentral
UACGGGGGGGGCAAGCGUUGUUCGGAAUUACUGGGCGUAAAGGGCGCGUAGGCGGCCUUCUAAGUCAGACGUGAAAUCCCUCGGCUCAACCGAGGAACUGCGUCUGAUACUGGAGGGCUUGAAUUCGGGAGAGGGAUGCGGAAUUCCAGGUGUAGCGGUGAAAUGCGUAGAUAUCUGGAGGAACACCGGUGGCGAAGGCGGCAUCCUGGACCGAUAUUGACGCUGAGGCGCGAAAGCCAGGGGAGCAAACGGG